This 1530-nucleotide ribosomal RNA is filed under the name Citricoccus sp. NR2. RNAcentral's name for it is "bacterial SSU rRNA". It matches the Rfam family "Bacterial small subunit ribosomal RNA". Lineage: Bacteria; Bacillati; Actinomycetota; Actinomycetes; Micrococcales; Micrococcaceae. The record is from RNAcentral.
UUUACGGAGAGUUUGAUCCUGGCUCAGGAUGAACGCUGGCGGCGUGCUUAACACAUGCAAGUCGAACGAUGAAGACUCCUGCUUGCAGGGGUUGGAUUAGUGGCGAACGGGUGAGUAUCACGUGAGUAACCUUCCCUUGACUCUGGGAUAAGCCCGGGAAACUGGGUCUAAUACUGGAUAUGAUCUUUCACCGCAUGGUGGAAGGUGGAAAGAUUUAUCGGUCUUGGAUGGACUCGCGGCCUAUCAGCUUGUUGGUGAGGUAAUGGCUCACCAAGGCGACGACGGGUAGCCGGCCUGAGAGGGUGACCGGCCACACUGGGACUGAGACACGGCCCAGACUCCUACGGGAGGCAGCAGUGGGGAAUAUUGCACAAUGGGCGCAAGCCUGAUGCAGCGACGCCGCGUGAGGGAUGACGGCCUUCGGGUUGUAAACCUCUUUCAGUAGGGAAGAAGCCUUUCGGGGUGACGGUACCUGCAGAAGAAGCGCCGGCUAACUACGUGCCAGCAGCCGCGGUAAUACGUAGGGCGCGAGCGUUAUCCGGAAUUAUUGGGCGUAAAGAGCUCGUAGGCGGUUUGUCGCGUCUGCUGUGAAAGCCCGGGGCUUAACUCCGGGUCUGCAGUGGGUACGGGCAGACUAGAGUGCAGUAGGGGAGACUGGAAUUCCUGGUGUAGCGGUGAAAUGCGCAGAUAUCAGGAGGAACACCGAUGGCGAAGGCAGGUCUCUGGGCUGUUACUGACGCUGAGGAGCGAAAGCAUGGGGAGCGAACAGGAUUAGAUACCCUGGUAGUCCAUGCCGUAAACGUUGGGCACUAGGUGUGGGGGACAUUCCACGUUUUCCGCGCCGUAGCUAACGCAUUAAGUGCCCCGCCUGGGGAGUACGGCCGCAAGGCUAAAACUCAAAGGAAUUGACGGGGGCCCGCACAAGCGGCGGAGCAUGCGGAUUAAUUCGAUGCAACGCGAAGAACCUUACCAAGGCUUGACAUGUGCCAGAUCGCCAUAGAGAUAUGGUUUCCCUUUUGGGCUGGUUCACAGGUGGUGCAUGGUUGUCGUCAGCUCGUGUCGUGAGAUGUUGGGUUAAGUCCCGCAACGAGCGCAACCCUCGUUCCAUGUUGCCAGCGGGUUAUGCCGGGGACUCAUGGGAGACUGCCGGGGUCAACUCGGAGGAAGGUGGGGACGACGUCAAAUCAUCAUGCCCCUUAUGUCUUGGGCUUCACGCAUGCUACAAUGGCCGGUACAAUGGGUUGCGAUACUGUGAGGUUGAGCUAAUCCCAAAAAGCCGGUCUCAGUUCGGAUUGGGGUCUGCAACUCGACCCCAUGAAGUCGGAGUCGCUAGUAAUCGCAGAUCAGCAACGCUGCGGUGAAUACGUUCCCGGGCCUUGUACACACCGCCCGUCAAGUCACGAAAGUUGGUAACACCCGAAGCCGGUGGCCUAACCCUUGUGGGGGGAGCCGUCGAAGGUGGGACUGGCGAUUGGGACUAAGUCGUAACAAGGUAGCCGUACCGGAAGGUGCGGCUGGAUCACCUCCUUU